This 920-nucleotide ribosomal RNA is filed under the name uncultured bacterium. RNAcentral's name for it is "bacterial SSU rRNA". It matches the Rfam family "Bacterial small subunit ribosomal RNA", at positions 1 to 916 of the family's 1533-position model. The record is from RNAcentral.
UUAGAGUUUGAUCCUGGCUCAGGAUGAACGCUAGCUACAGGCUUAACACAUGCAAGUCGAGGGGAAACGAUAUUGGAAGCUUGCUUCCGAUAGGCGUCGACCGGCGCACGGGUGAGUAACGCGUAUCCAACCUGCCCAUCACUUGGGGAUAACCUUGCGAAAGUAAGACUAAUACCCAAUGACGUCUCUAGAAGACAUCUGAAGGAGAUUAAAGAUUUAUCGGUGAUGGAUGGGGAUGCGUCUGAUUAGCUUGUUGGCGGGGUAACGGCCCACCAAGGCGACGAUCAGUAGGGGUUCUGAGAGGAAGGUCCCCCACAUUGGAACUGAGACACGGUCCAAACUCCUACGGGAGGCAGCAGUGAGGAAUAUUGGUCAAUGGGCGAGAGCCUGAACCAGCCAAGUAGCGUGCAGGAUGACGGCCCUAUGGGUUGUAAACUGCUUUUAUAAGGGAAUAAAGUGAGAGUCGUGACUCUUUUUGCAUGUACCUUAUGAAUAAGGACCGGCUAAUUCCGUGCCAGCAGCCGCGGUAAUACGGAAGGUCCGGGCGUUAUCCGGAUUUAUUGGGUUUAAAGGGAGCGUAGGCCGGAGAUUAAGCGUGUUGUGAAAUGUAGACGCUCAACGUCUGCACUGCAGCGCGAACUGGUUUCCUUGAGUACGCACAAAGUGGGCGGAAUUCGUGGUGUAGCGGUGAAAUGCUUAGAUAUCACGAAGAACUCCGAUUGCGAAGGCAGCUCACUGGAGCGCAACUGACGCUGAAGCUCGAAAGUGCGGGUAUCGAACAGGAUUAGAUACCCUGGUAGUCCGCACGGUAAACGAUGGAUGCCCGCUGUUGGUCUGAAUAGGUCAGCGGCCAAGCGAAAGCAUUAAGCAUCCCACCUGGGGAGUACGCCGGCAACGGUGAAACUCAAAGGAAUUGACGG